Molecule: ribosomal RNA, 250 nt
Filed under: uncultured bacterium
Lineage: Bacteria
Description: partial 16S ribosomal RNA
Rfam family: Bacterial small subunit ribosomal RNA
Source: RNAcentral
ACGCGCAGAACCUUACCAUCCUUUGACAUGGCGUGUUAUGGGAGGAGAUUCCAUCGUCCCACUUCGGUGGCGCGCACACAGGUGCUGCAUGGCUGUCGUCAGCUCGUGUCGUGAGAUGUUGGGUUAAGUCCCGCAACGAGCGCAACCCACGUCCUUAGUUGCCAUCAUUCAGUUGGGCACUCUAGGGAGACUGCCGGUGAUAAGCCGCGAGGAAGGUGUGGAUGACGUCAAGUCCUCAUGGCCCUUACGG